Molecule: non-coding RNA, 28 nt
Filed under: Homo sapiens (human)
Lineage: Eukaryota; Metazoa; Chordata; Mammalia; Primates; Hominidae
Source: RNAcentral
UCACGCUAGAAGGAGGUUGGGUGGAUGU